UACGAAGGGGGCUAGCGUUGCUCGGAAUCACUGGGCGUAAAGGGCGCGUAGGCGGCUCUGCACGUCCGUUGUGAAAUCGCCCGGCUCAACUGGGCGGGUCAGCGGAUACGGCAGAGCUUGAGCAAGCUAGGGGGCAAUGGAAUUCCCGGUGUAGUGGUGGAAUGCGUAGAUAUCGGGAGGAACACCAGUGGCGAAGGCGGUUGCCUGGGCUUUGGCUGACGCUGAUGCGCGAAAGCGUGGG
Molecule: ribosomal RNA, 241 nt
Filed under: uncultured bacterium
Lineage: Bacteria
Description: partial 16S ribosomal RNA
Rfam family: Bacterial small subunit ribosomal RNA
Source: RNAcentral